UACACAGAAUCCCACCCCAAAAGUCCCGGGGAAGGGAAGGAAGAGAAUUCUGAGUCCCGGAGUGUGAGAGGGGAACGCACCCGGGAAAUCCCUGCUCCGGCCGCUGCACCUCCGCGGGCGCCCAGGUGGGACCUGGGCAGGUGCGCGAGCGCCGUAUGUGCCCGUGUGGAUCUGUGUGUGUGCCCGCAUGUGUGCGUGUGCGUGUGCCGCGGGCUGGCUCCGGGGCACCGAGUACUCCCGGGCCGGCUCGGGUCUCUCUGGCCGCGCCGCCCUAGCCACCCGCCCGCCCGGCCCCACGCCCCAGCCGACCGGCUCCUUACCUGGACGCGCCGCGUUUCCCUCAUUCAGCGGGAGCGCCGCAUUGACACUGCAGAUGGAGCCCGUGCCGCUGCCUCUCGCCCUCCUCUGAACGUGUGCGUGUGCGCGCGUGUGGCUGCCUCCUCCAGCCCCAGCACCGAACGCAAAUACUCCACCGAGGCACAGGGAAACGGCGAGCAGCCGGGAAACGCGGAGGGCGCUGAAUCAGAGCCUGCGGUGCUUGACAGCUCCUCUUGCGGCGUCCAAGGUGGGCGUAAUGUCCAACAAAAAGUGUGUGGUGUCAUUUAUUUUCAUUCAGAGAAAUGAAUGCCAUGUGGUGCCUGAAGAGUAAUAACAGAGCCAAAUGACAAGGAAGACGUACAGCAAAAAGCUGGACCAGCAGCCAUGGGCAGGUGAGGGGCCCAGCCAGCUCUCCCGUUGUUAAUGGAGCCAUAUCUCAAAGUGCCUUUUUCCCUGCUUUCCUUCCACUGAAUGACACAGUGAAAGGCGUACUGAAGGGGGCAGUUAUCACAUCAUCGGAGGGAGUAGCAGAAAGGGUCAAAUUAGCAACAGGAGAGGAUUUUUUUUUUUUCUUUUCAGUGCUGGCCCAUUGGAUUGACUCUCUUAAGUUAGGAGAAUGGAAUGGAGUGAGAUAAAUAUGGCCUCUACCCGGAAAGUUAGAAGACGCGUGUCCUACUCCUGGCUCUGCCAUCGGCCAGCUUUAUAAUUUGGAGCAGGUCACGUCCUCUUGAUGAUACCCACCUAUCACCUGACACAUAUGCCACCUUAGAGUUGCAAUGACUUUCAAAGGACAUACCAUCUUAUUAAGGUGUUUUGAAACUCUAAGGUAAGUACAAACCACAUGUAAGGAAUUAGGGUCACUUUCCAGAUGAAUGUAUCUUUUUUUUUUUCUUUUUUCAAAUAGCAC
This 1225-nucleotide long non-coding RNA is filed under the name Callithrix jacchus (white-tufted-ear marmoset). RNAcentral's name for it is "lncRNA (ENSCJAG00000072356.1)". The record is from RNAcentral. Lineage: Eukaryota; Metazoa; Chordata; Mammalia; Primates; Cebidae.